Ornithorhynchus anatinus (platypus) is the source of this 138-nucleotide small nucleolar RNA. The record is from RefSeq and is a predicted model, not a curated record. Lineage: Eukaryota; Metazoa; Chordata; Mammalia; Monotremata; Ornithorhynchidae.
CCCCUCUCAGGAUCGCUCCUGGAGAGUCUCCAGUUCUCUACCAGUCUCAACUAUGGGAGGAAUAGUCAGGCAGAGGCAUAUCCAUUCCAUUCCUACCUUGCCCAGGGGCUGGCAAGUGGAAGACAAUCUGCUACAAGU